GUGCCAGCAGCCGCGGUAAUACGAGGGGAGCUAGCGUUAUUCGGAAUUACUGGGCGUAAAGCGCACGUAGGCGGCUUUGUAAGUUAGAGGUGAAAGCCCGGGGCUCAACUCCGGAGUUGCCUUUAAAACUGCUUCGCUUGAAUCCAGGAGAGGUGGGUGGUUCUCCGGUGUCGNGGUGUUGUCCGUUGUUGUUCGGGGCCCCUCCUGUGGCGUGGGCGGCUCUCUGGACUGGUAUUGCCGCUGUGGUGCGGAAGCGUGGGGAGCAAACACGAUUAGAUACCCUGGUAGUCC
This 291-nucleotide ribosomal RNA is filed under the name uncultured microorganism. RNAcentral's name for it is "partial 16S ribosomal RNA". It matches the Rfam family "Bacterial small subunit ribosomal RNA", at positions 505 to 796 of the family's 1533-position model. The record is from RNAcentral.